GCCACUAUAUAAAUCUCUACCCAAUCACUCGCGGGAAAUUUUUGGCCAAUCCAGUUGUAGAGAAAACUAUUUUCAGCGCCAAUGCGUUGUUCUCCGAUCCGAUAGCUUCCACUUCACGCGCAGUUUCGUUUCCUUUUGAAACGAACAUCUCCCCCCCUCUGCCAUUCUCUCUCGCGAUGAAUUUUGGAGUUUCCACUUCCAUGAACUUUGCAAUCUCCACUCCAUCGCUUCACCUCUCUUUCGAGUUUCGAGUCCGACGUUGCGAUCUCACUCGAGCUCAUAGAAGCCGGAAUGCGUAUUCCACGAGCUUAUUUUUUCAGUUCCCGCCGGAUUGGGAGAAGGAUCGUCACUGUCAACGCAGACCAGUCUUCUUCUAGAGCCACGGAUGACGGUUUCAGCAUCGAAGUGUCCCUCCGUUAACCUCUUGGGAUUCUGACCACAGAUAAAGAUUACUUCCCAAUCUAAACUUAAUCAGGGAGGAUACAGAAGGUUUUACUCAAAGAAUACAUGAAAUUGACACCUAAAGUUGUCAACGAUAUCCUCUAACAUGUUGGGUACUUUUCUUCGUACUUCACUAGGAGGCCAUGAUACAAAUAAGACUGUUGAUAAUUUUCAGGAUCGUGGAAUGAAUCAGGUACAUGUAAAAAGCUAGUUGACUACUUCAGAGAAGAAGCGAGAGCAACAAAAAAUAAAAUAAUGCAAUAAAAGAAGGGGGGAAAAAAAAGAAGAAGAAGAAGAAGGAAAAAUAAGGGAAUGCUUCAGAAAAAUUAAUGUCUUCCUAUGGUCUCGGCGUAUAUCAUUGGCGGCGAUGGUACUCAAAGAAGAGCAGCUUUAAUUUAUCAGGGAGUUGCAAAACGAGGUCUUCAAGUUUCUGUAGCUGGGAUCCCCAAGACGAUUGAUAAUGCAAUUGCUGGCAGCUGCGGGAGUGAAGGAAAUGGACAAUUCUGGGCCAAUGGAAGAGACUCGACUUGACCUUCAUGUGGAGAGAGAAUGUUCAAGUGCUCCUGGGGAAGCAAUGGAAGGUUAGUAAAAGUAUGAUAUUUUUUUAGUGAAGUCUACAUAUAAAUCAUGAACUCUUCAGAUCUUUUUAAGUUGCGAGUAUUAUAUUAGUGUAGAGAUAGAGCUGGAAAGGUAGAAUUAUAUGAACAAGUGAUAGUCAUGUCUAGAUAAUUUUAAAAUCAUUCAAAAUCACGUUUUUAAUCAUUUAAAAUUAUUUUUAAAUUAUUUUGAUUGCAUGGGAAGUAGUUAGAGAGUGAUUUUGACUUUUGAAAAAAAAAGUGCUUUUUAAAAAUUUUAAAAUAACUCCCACGAGAGAUUUAUAGAGAUCAGUGGGGAAUUUUGCUCCAUUUUUAUUUAAUAUAUACUUUUUAAAAAAUUUUCAUUUCAAAUAAUCUUUAUAAUGAAA
This is a long non-coding RNA of Cucurbita pepo subsp. pepo (vegetable marrow), 1405 nucleotides long. RefSeq lists it as uncharacterized. The record is from RefSeq and is a predicted model, not a curated record. Lineage: Eukaryota; Viridiplantae; Streptophyta; Magnoliopsida; Cucurbitales; Cucurbitaceae.